This 389-nucleotide ribosomal RNA is filed under the name uncultured Actinomycetes bacterium. RNAcentral describes it as "bacterial SSU rRNA". It matches the Rfam family "Bacterial small subunit ribosomal RNA", at positions 972 to 1365 of the family's 1533-position model. The record is from RNAcentral. Lineage: Bacteria; Bacillati; Actinomycetota; Actinomycetes.
UACCAAGGCUUGACAUAUACCGAAAAGCAGCAGAGAUGUUGUGUCCGCAAGGGCGGUAUACAGGUGGUGCAUGGUUGUCGUCAGCUCGUGUCGUGAGAUGUUGGGUUAAGUCCCGCAACGAGCGCAACCCUCGUUCUGUGUUGCCAGCAUUUAGUUGGGGACUCACAGGAGACUGCCGUGGUUAACACGGAGGAAGGUGGGGAUGACGUCAAAUCAUCAUGCCCCUUAUGUCUUGGGCUGCACGCAUGCUACAAUGGCAGGUACAAAGGGCUGCAAUACCGUAAGGUGGAGCGAAUCCCAAAAAGUCUGUCUCAGUUCGGAUUGAGGUCUGCAACUCGACCUCAUGAAGUCGGAGUUGCUAGUAAUCGUAGAUCAGCAACGUACGGAAA